This 3602-nucleotide long non-coding RNA is filed under the name Apis dorsata (giant honeybee). Its description in RNAcentral is "uncharacterized LOC116186692". Lineage: Eukaryota; Metazoa; Arthropoda; Insecta; Hymenoptera; Apidae. The record is from RNAcentral.
UUUUCAUUCGUUUUACAUCUUUCUUGAUCCAAAUUGUAUGAUAUAUUAUAUAUUGUAACGUCAUGACAAUAGGUGUAACGACAUCUUCAAAGCUUUCAACGGUAUUCACGAUUUAAGAUAUAUGAUCGAUACACUUAUAUCCGUGCAUGCGCUAUUUAUUUCAAUAAGGAAGAAAGUGCACUCAACGCUCGCUCGAUGCAUUGAAAUGAUACACACUUCGCUUACAAAAAGAUUCAAUUUGCGAAGAAACUCACAUUGUUGUGGUGAAAGCGUGAGAAUGAAUUUAACCACGUAAGAAGAAAGAAUUGAUUUUGUUCUCGAUAGUUAAUUUAAUUUCGACAAUCAAUAUUCUACUGUAUUAUAUAAUUUAUAUAAAAAUUUCAAACGUAGAAAUCUAUUAUAAAUUGUCUUUUGAAAAAUUAUUCUUAAGCAAAAAAUAAACAAUAAUAAAAAAUAUAUUAUAAAAAUAAUAAAAAUUUUAUCGACACAUAUGAUCUUUCAAUGUGUGAAAUUCACAAUACGUCUUUAUUUAUCUUUAAUUCGCACAAUUCAUCGGUCGAGAUGCUCUCACGCUGCACAAAAAAUCUCGAAAAAGCUUGAACCGAUGACGAACAUAGCGAAAAAGUAUUACUGUAAGAAUGGUCAAGAGCAUUCGCGCGAACGUAACUGAAGACCCGUUUUCAGGAAGAGGUCGUUUCUCCUCGUAGCACUUAUCGAUGCCGUUUUUACGGCCACGUCGAACAUUAGCCCAGUUGAACGUGAAAAGCACGGAUAUCGAUGUAGCUUCGGAAGAUUCUUUGCCCGUAUUACGAGAAAAUGCUGGAAAAUGGAGAAAAAUUCUGGCCGCUCGUUCCGUUGAUGAACGUCCUCGUUUUCGAUCGUGGUUUGUCUUGGGAAAUGUACUCGUGAACGUAAUAGAAUGUUAAAAUGUUCUUCCAUUUUUUGUCUUAGGUACGAUGAAAAGUAUUACAUCUUACACGAGUUCAAUAAGAAUUAAUUAGUUAGCGAAACCAAUUAGAUUCUUUUGUCUUUUUUGCAUUAUGGAUUGUGGAAAAGCGAUUUCUUUCGUGAUCUGCGAUAAAAUGGCGAAACAAUUAUAACGAGCAAGAGAAUAAUGCGAAGAGGAUAAUUCGUCGUAGAAAUUUAAUGCAAGUUGCGGUUUCAUUCAAGAUUUGAGUAAAUGCUGCAUAAAUACAAUACGUAUUCCUUCAACUUUGAAUCAUACUAUCUACAACUUGCUAAAAGUUAUCUCGUCUUGAUUAAGUUACGCAUAACUUUGAUGCAAUUCAAAUAUUACAACGUUCCAUUAAACAUUUGGUUAAACGUUUCUCGUUUUACGUAUAAUAACGAUAAGUUUCGUGUUUUAAUAUACAUAUUUCGCUAUUUGAGAUGGAAUAUUGUAAUAUUAAUGUUUCAUGAAAUAUGAGCAGUUAUAUGAAAGUUAAACGUGAAAUAAAGGAUAUAGAAUACGCGAUGUAUUAUGAAUUAUGACACACGAUAUGGAGAACUUUCUUCUAUCCUUUUCAUAUUUUGUUAAAAUAUAUAGAAUUUCUUUUCAAAAUAUAUAUUUUUAUAAUAAAUUUGUUAAAAAUAUAGUAGAGUGAUUAAAUUUAACUUAUUAGAUUGGUAUUUUUGAUAAAUACCAAUUUCGAUUCGUUGUGAAAAUAUAUAAUAUAAAUGAAAUAUUCUAUAAUGUUUGGAAUUUCUUCUCAAGGUAUGUUGCUACGGAAUUUGUAACAAAUUUACAUGUAUUAUAAUUGAUCUCAGUAAAUAUAGGAAUUUUGAAUACACGUUAUUAGAGAUUUUAGAAUUUCGCGCGGUAUGUAGCUUUAUUGAAUUUCGCCUUUCACCAUUGAAUAACUUGAAUCGGCAACUUUAUUAAAUUGUAUGGAAUUUUGAAAUACUAACCGAUCGGCAUUACUUGCAUUCAUCAAUAUCUCGCAUAUCCCUUUUUUUUAAUAUAACCUUUUAUUUCAUUUUCCACAAUUUAUAUUACGGAAAGAUUAAAAGAUCAAUAUCAAAACUGGAAGAAAACGAAAAAAAGAUUCAAUUUAACUUCUCUAUUCUAUAAUUUCAUCCUCUUUCUUCUUAAUUCAAAAUACAAUUAUAUUCCACAAUUUCACUCUCUCACCAAAUCUUUUCAUUUCAUCAAAGUACAAUCAACUUUUGCAUUCCACAAUUCCAUUAUCCAAUCAUGUUUUUUCCUUCCUAAUUCACCAAAAAUUCCUCUUCGUUCUUAUUUGAUCCAUUUUAAUCAAAACUCUAGUAAUCAACGAGCAAAAACUCCUUCCAUCCGGAUAUCGUUAAUACCGUUAAACAACAAGAUGAGCGUAUCAAACGACAUUCAUAGAAACACGUAACAGAAAAAGAAUUAAUGCGUCCUCCGACAAAAAUUACUUGAAACUUGUUACUGCAACAGGUUGUCGCUGGCGUAUUGUGGAUGCACGGAUCCGUAUGCCCUCGUUUCUACGCCGUUAAUAUACACAUACUUUACAGAACUGGUGUAAUAAACAUGCCUUCCCUUCAGUUUUACGUUCUCGCCACGUGGAACCGCGAUAUUUCAUUUACUUAAGAUCCUGAACACACGGACGACGUUCCAGUCGAUACGUGGCCAUUUAUUAAUGGGUGCGCUGUUAAAGCGUGGCAGUUUUCCAAUUUCGUGAAGUUCUAGACGUUGCACAGCUAUGGCCUGUGUAUGUAUAAAUUGUUAAAGAUCGUGAAAUCAAUUUCGAUUUUUUAAUAAUGGAUUGUGAAAGAAUUAGAAAGCUUUGAAUUUUUCAAUUUCCAUCUGAAUGGCCAGUUUAUCAUGUGUACGUACAAUACGUCUUAUGGUUAACAAUAUAACGUACGUCGAUCAUGGCAAGCGUCGAUUGUAACGCUGUGACUUGGACAGACGCGUAUUACACCAUACUAUUCGCAUCACAGAAACGGUGUAGUAAGCGAUAUCGCGUCAUAUAUGCGGCCAUGAAGGCGACAUUCAGUGGACAAACGGUUCAACCAAACAGACCUCGAUCGAUCGUCGUAGACGUGGCAAGUGCCACUUGAAUCGUGAUGUUCGAUCAAUAGGAUUCGGAGAAAUUCGAAAGGAGGACACGAAUUAAGACGAAUUUUCCUCAAAUGGAAUUCCAAUUUGCAGGAGAAAAUUUAUACAGGAAUGAAAUAAUUUUGAUUAAUUUCUUAAACUUUGUUUCUCAGUAAAAUAAUAAUUAAUAUUUGAACGUUUUAAGGAAAUCUAUGCUAUGCUUGCAAAUAAUAGAUCCAACAAAUUCUUUUUGUUCAUAUUUAAUGAUUUCGUUAAAGCUCUGAGCUAAACACGUUAUGUGUAUCUCCUAUGGCUAGAUAUUUAACUUACGUUGAUGACAUCCAAGUACAAAAAUAAUUAAAUCAUUUCAAAGAAAAUUUAACUAUGUUACUUGAUUUAAUCAAAUAAGGAAAUAAGUAGGUACGCUUGCUUACCUUAGAUGGAAGACUUUAUUAUUAAAAGUCAAAGUUAUGUAUUUGUCAAACAAUCUUGACAACUUCUGGAACUCUUCGAUGUAUAUUACUCUAUGCGAUUAUUCGUAGACAAAAAAUUCUAGAAUUUGAAUUGUAAAGUUAAAAUU